GAUGAACGCUGGCGGCGUGCCCAAUACAUGCAAGUCGAGCGAACAGAUGAGGAGCUUGCUCCUCUGACGUUAGCGGCGGACGGGUGAGUAACACGUGGAUAACCUACCUAUAAGACUGGGAUAACUUCGGGAAACCGGAGCUAAUACCGGAUAAUAUAUUGAACCGCAUGGUUCAAUAGUGAAAGACGGUUUUGCUGUCACUUAUAGAUGGAUCCGCGCCGCAUUAGCUAGUUGGUAAGGUAACGGCUUACCAAGGCGACGAUGCGUAGCCGACCUGAGAGGGUGAUCGGCCACACUGGAACUGAGACACGGUCCAGACUCCUACGGGAGGCAGCAGUAGGGAAUCUUCCGCAAUGGGCGAAAGCUUGACGGAGCAACGCCGCGUGAGUGAUGAAGGUCUUCGGAUCGUAAAACUCUGUUAUUAGGGAAGAACAAAUGUGUAAGUAACUAUGCACGUCUUGACGGUACCUAAUCAGAAAGCCACGGCUAACUACGUG
Molecule: ribosomal RNA, 497 nt
Filed under: uncultured bacterium
Lineage: Bacteria
Description: partial 16S ribosomal RNA
Rfam family: Bacterial small subunit ribosomal RNA
Source: RNAcentral